Triticum aestivum (bread wheat) is the source of this 2192-nucleotide RNA transcript. It is a transcript of the gene named probable D-2-hydroxyglutarate dehydrogenase, mitochondrial, with no coding region annotated. NCBI's taxonomy places the organism in Eukaryota, Viridiplantae, Streptophyta, Magnoliopsida, Poales, Poaceae. The record is from RefSeq and is a predicted model, not a curated record. The transcript has 16 exons.
CACUGUCAGUCAAACGCGAGGUCGCUUCUUCCAGCUGCAAACCAAGCUUGUUGACGCCCGUGUCAGAAUUCCCAUCCCCCCAUGGCGCUCCUGUCCCUCCUCUCCCACUCCAGAACACGCUCCUCCGUCCUCCGGGAACCUCUCCGGCAGGGGGGCCUGCGCGCCCUGCUCGCCCCGUGGGCUCCCCCGCCCGUGCAUCCGCACGACCGCGCCGCCGGACACGCCUGCACGCCCCCUUCCACCGAGACCUCCCCUCCUGGUCACCACCGCCCUCCUCCUCUCGACCGGACCCGCCUCGGGAGCCGGACGAUCUCCUAUGGCGUUGGAUCGACAAACCAUACCCUGGCUUCUCAUAGAAGAUCCUACUGGACCCUGUGUCCACAACAUCCCUCUCGUGGGCCUCCAGCUGGGAUAGCAACAAAAGAAGCACAGCAUAGUGUGAAUGAUCCGUUUGAAGUUCAACGGCGUACUUUUGGUUCUGCGGCAGAACCCAUCCAGAGGAAUCCCGACUUUUCAGUGCUAAACUCUGAUGACGUUUCUUACUUCAAGAGCAUAUUGGGUGACACUGGAGUCGUUCAAGAUAAAGACAGGGUGGCUGUUGCAAAUGUGGAUUGGAUGGGUAAAUACAAGGGUGCAAGUCAGCUACUGCUUUUACCAAAAAGUACUAAUGAGGUUUCUAAGGUCCUUGCUUACUGCAACUCGAGACGAUUGGCGGUAGUUCCUCAGGGUGGAAAUACAGGCCUCGUUGGUGGCAGUGUUCCAGUUCAUGAUGAGGUGAUUGUCAACCUUGGUGGUAUGGACAAAAUAAUCUCGUUUGACAAUGUAAAUGGUAUUCUUACUUGUGAAGCUGGUUGUGUGUUGGAGAACUUAAGUACCUUUGUGGAAAAUGAAGGGUUUAUUAUGCCUCUUGACUUAGGCGCAAAAGGUAGUUGCCAAAUAGGCGGGAACAUUUCAACUAAUGCUGGCGGCUUACGCUUCAUUCGCUACGGUUCAAUUCAUGGAAAUGUACUUGGUCUUGAAGUUGUCCUAGCCAAUGGAACUGUUCUUGACAUGCUUACUACUUUAAGGAAAGACAACACUGGAUACGAUCUGAAGCACUUAUUUGUUGGAAGUGAAGGCUCACUAGGAAUAGUCACUAAAGUGUCAAUACUUACACCUGCAAAGCUACCUUCAACUAAUGUUGCAUUUCUUUCCUGCAACGACUACAUGAGCUGCCAGAAAUUGCUACUGGCAGCUAGGAGGAGCUUGGGUGAGAUUCUUUCUGCAUUUGAGUUUAUGGAUCGUCAGUGUAUUGAUCUGGCUAUGACGCAUUUGGAAGGAGUUCAUAAUCCUUUACCUGUCUCGCCAUACAAAUUUUAUGUUCUAAUUGAGACCACAGGAAGUGAUGAAUCAUAUGACAAAGCAAAACUUGAAGCUUUUUUAUUGAGUUCAAUGGAAGAUGGCCUUGUAGCUGAUGGAGUUAUAGCACAGGAUAUUAGCCAAGCAUCUAAUUUUUGGAGAAUCCGCGAGGGUAUAUCAGAAGCAUCUGUAAAAGUUGGUGCAGUCUACAAGUAUGACUUGUCCAUACCUGUAGAGAAACUAUAUGAUAUUGUUGAAGAAAUGCGCAGCCGUGUUGGUGAUACGGCAGAGGUAUUGGGUUAUGGUCACCUUGGUGACGGGAAUCUCCAUCUAAACAUCUUAUCAAGCAAGUACAGUGACAAUGUAUGUCUGAUCUGACAUGGAAAUAGAUCAUUUACUUAGGUUUGGCUUCAGUUUCUCAAGAUAGAGGAAGCAUUAGUGCGGAGCACGGGCUGGGGCUAAUGAAAGCUGAGAAGAUUCACUACAGCAAGUCACCAGAAGCAGUGCAGCUAAUGGCUUCCAUCAAGAAGUUAAUGGACCCUAACUCAAUUCUAAACCCAUACAAGGUUCUACCUCAGUCUGCAUUGUCACUGGAGCAGGGUAGCUGAUUGAGCUUGUUGCUUACGCAAAUCAACUUCAGAGAACAGAAGCUGUUGACUUGGAUAGAAGAGAUCUGUCUGUACCCAAUAAAAGUAUAUAAUCAAUAAAAUUCCUGUUGUUGUCAGCGUCUGGAGUAUUAUAAACAAUUAUUCAGAUGGACAUCAAACUAGGAAAAACAUCAAAUAAGCCCCUGUACAACUCAGGUGCUUGCACAUGCACCUCAGAGAAAAAGAAACUUUUUUUGGUGAGAUCAA